CAGGCUUACCAUGCAAGUCGAGGGGCAGCAUGGUCUUAGCUUGCUAAGGCCGAUGGCGACCGGCGCACGGGUGAGUAACACGUAUCCAACCUGCCGUCUACUCUUGGACAGCCUUCUGAAAGGAAGAUUAAUACAAGAUGGCAUCAUGAGUUCACAUGUUCACAUGAUUAAAGGUAUUCCGGUAGACGAUGGGGAUGCGUUCCAUUAGAUAGUAGGCGGGGUAACGGCCCACCUAGUCUUCGAUGGAUAGGGGUUCUGAGAGGAAGGUCCCCCACAUUGGAACUGAGACACGGUCCAAACUCCUACGGGAGGCAGCAGUGAGGAAUAUUGGUCAAUGGGCGCAGGCCUGAACCAGCCAAGUAGCGUGAAGGAUGACUGCCCUAUGGGUUGUAAACUUCUUUUAUAAAGGAAUAAAGUCGGGUAUGUAUACCCGUUUGCAUGUACUUUAUGAAUAAGGAUCGGCUAACUCCGUGCCAGCAGCCGCGGUAAUACGGAGGAUCCGAGCGUUAUCCGGAUUUAUUGGGUUUAAAGGGAGCGUAGAUGGAUGUUUAAGUCAGUUGUGAAAGUUUGCGGCUCAACCGUAAAAUUGCAGUUGAUACUGGAUAUCUUGAGUGCAGUUGAGGCAGGCGGAAUUCGUGGUGUAGCGGUGAAAUGCUUAGAUAUCACGAAGAACUCCGAUUGCGAAGGCAGCCUGCUAAGCUGCAACUGACAUUGAGGCUCGAAAGUGUGGGUAUCAAACAGGAUUAGAUACCCUGGUAGUCCACACGGUAAACGAUGAAUACUCGCUGUUUGCGAUAUACUGCAAGCGGCCAAGCGAAAGCGUUAAGUAUUCCACCUGGGGAGUACGCCGGCAACGGUGAAACUCAAAGGAAUUGACGG
This 879-nucleotide ribosomal RNA is filed under the name uncultured bacterium. Its description in RNAcentral is "bacterial SSU rRNA". It matches the Rfam family "Bacterial small subunit ribosomal RNA", at positions 43 to 916 of the family's 1533-position model. The record is from RNAcentral.